UAAUAGUAGUUUUGAAAUUCAACAUCAUCAACUUUGACUGUUCUCUUGACCUCCUUAUUUUCCUGGGAGGUUAUUGGGAUAGAUAUGUGAUGGGAGAAUACAUUAAAAAAAAAUGCUGCAGUGUUCAUCACUCUUCCUGUGAACCUUCAUUUAUAAAUGCUGGUUAAUGAUAACGUAGCUGCUGUCCAAUGUGUUCUCAGUUAGCAUAUAUUGUGCAUGGAAAAUAGAUGUGCUUUGCCUGCUUCGCUGCAAAAUAACUCACUAUUUGCUUUCCAUUAGAGCAGUGAGAAAGGUACUGUUCUGUCCUUUAAUGUAAUAACUCAUUUAUUAUGCAGGUGGAUUAGAUCAAGUGGUUGGAUUAAAGAAUUCCCUAUGCAAGAAGAACUAAUCAUGCUAGGGCACUUGCAAGGAAAACCUUCAUUGCUUUUGGAAAGAGCACACCUGAAAACAAGCUUUUCAUCCGUACAUGUCCCACGUCAAGAGGCCUAGGAUUUGAUCCAGCUUCGAACUUCAUGGUUGCAAUAUUGAAAUGAACUGUGACAGUGAAGCACAAAAAUGGUUCAGAGCCACUUCUACAAAACCGGGGAGAUGUGGUUGCCUACCAUCGCCUUUGGCUGUGACAACAGUGGUUGUGCAAUCCAAUGCCCUGUCUCAUCAGAAUAGCCUGACUAUGGAUCCUGCCUCUGAAACAUGAGGUGAUUCCAGAAAAGAUAACGCAAGGGAAGAUCAAGAGCAGCUGUCUGAACAAGCAGAACAGCUGGGGAGCAUCUGAAGUGGCCUUCUGCUUCUAGGACCACUGAGCUUCUUUGAGGUUUUGGAAGCCAAACAGAACUGAAUUUUGGAACUCCCCUUAUCUUUACAAUAAGCUAAAUCAGAACCCUGGAUCUUAAUUAACAUUUCUUCAUUUAGAAUUAUUUUUGUGAACACAAUAGAGCUGAUUAUUACCGAGAGCCUCUUCAAAGAAGUUAAAUUAAUCUGAUAAAUCAAUGUGGCCAAUGCAGAUAAGUCUUGUGGAGCAUUUUCAAGCAGUACCAGGAUCUGUCAAAAAGAGUAAUGAAUAUCAGAUUUCCAAAUGUACACAUUUUGGGGGAAGGAAUAAGAUAAAUGACACGCAUUAACUUCAAUAACUUGCGUGCGGUAACGUGAAGAUGCAAAUGGGAAAAUUAAACUGGGUCAGCAAAUGCAAACUUGAAGACAAUAAUAAAGGAUGCUGAGAUUGUUCUGAAUGAAGAUGGCAAAGAGCGGGAAAUGAUGUAUGGGAGUAACGGCAUGACAUUUGUGUUCCUUCAGAUGAAUCCAACUCAAUAAUAAUAGUAAUCCUGCUGUGAACUAAAUUUCAUUCCCUGUCACAUCCAAGUAAGGAGCAGCGCACCGAAGAUAUCUUGGUGGUAAACUCGUUGUAAAACUGAGGACGUACAAAGGGCUCCAGGCUGAGGCUACUGCAGAAGGUGGCAAAAUGAGCCAGGGGCCAGCCCUGUGGUUCCAGCAAACAGUGGGGAGGACUGAGGAAACAUUCUUGCUGCUCUGGGAGAAAAUCCUUGUGUAAGAGCAUCUUAUCGCAGUGCCAUGCCUCACAUGAUCAGUGUCUUGGGAUGCCACGAUGCACAAUUGGAAACAUCAGACAGAGUAGAUAUUUUCAUCAGAAGUGCAAGUGAUCAAUUUCUACUGAUAAAAAAGGCAUUCAUUUCUUCAGAUAGAGAAGCAAAUAGAAGAGUGUUACAUAUAGAGAAGCAUAAAAAGUGAAACGUCUAGCCUGAAAUCAAGAGGAAGAAAGAGGAUAUACCUGCAGUAAAGAUAAAAGGAAAUGGCACAGUAUUGGAGGAGAGUUAGCAUUAUACUCCCAACAGGCUCUGACGUGGAGGUCUCGUCUCCUGGUGUCAAAGGCCAGGCUUGGCCGGCCUUUUCAAUAUUCUCAUAAGCCUUUCUGACAUUAAAGGAUGGGAGAUAGGCUGGAAAGCACUUAACAAAUUAAUAUGGGAUGCAUAUGCCCACACCCAGUGCUAGUCCUUUGGUUUGCUUCUGGGUUUCUGCUCUGUUGUACCACACUGAUGUGUUGCUGCCCGUGGCUGACUCUUCCAAGGGCUGCAGGAGGAGUGGUUAUGUCAUUUAUGUAUGUACAUGUAGAUUCAAAGGUUUGCUUAAUUUCUAUUUUUAAUUGUAGUUUUCAUGUUCUCUUCGAGUUUCUAGCAGUUUAAGCAUAGAGUAUCAGGAAUCUCAUGAGGUUUUAGUCUCAAGACUUCUGAUCUAAAGCAUUUGUGUACACAUCAGAUUUACAUCCAGUGUAAACCUUUUGAAAAUCAACCCUCGUUGUUCCUUAAUGAUCAGAGUAUGAAUUCCUAGUAGGCAAGUGAUGAGUUCCAUGUGUGUGCCUACUAGGUUUUUUUCUUUAAAUAUUCCUGUGAUUUAGGAUGAUCUCUGUUAAAGAGUCACAGGCAAACCUGCAGAAGUGUUGCAUGGAGCAAUUCUCAGCCUUGGAGCCGGAGGAGAAAAGCUGCAUCCUCUGAAAGACAUGUUGUUCUUUCUGCCUUUGGAGUUAGGGGACAAGGUAUGAGAACUGGUAACUUGUUUACAAGUUUUUCUUCUCUUUCAACUCUUCCAGCUGUUUUUGUCACCUCUUUCAUAGGUGGUACUGAGACAGAGUUGCCAGCUAGAGCUGAAAGAUGAAAUAGAGCAGAUGAAGGGUGUGUGUGUGGAAGGAGGGGGGGGGUGGAAAUGUUCUCUUUUUUCAGUUCUGUACGGUGACAUAAAAAGUGGGUUACAAUUCAAAAUAUUGAAUCGUGGUUCUCGAGGCAGUUUUAUGCUUAAAUCAUAGUCUUGUCAAGUCCGUGUUUGAUGUGCUUUAAUUAACGCUUCCCCUCACUUUGUGUUUGAUUUUGAUGUGUAUGCAAUGGAUUCACACAACCUGAAGUGAUCAAAAAGAGGCAUUUGUCAGUGUCAGAGCCUGUGCUGAGGUCUCGGUCGGCUCCAUGCACACCCUGAAUGAGGAAGGUGGGGAUGGGUUAUUAGAGGAAUACAGGUCAGCCUUUAAGAAAUCACCUACAGUAAAUGAAGCUAAUGCAGUUUUCAUUAGGCUGUUUGCAGUGCCAGCAUCAAAUGCGUUUGGGAAGUUCAGUCAAGCUGUGUAUGACAUCCCCAUAAUGCAACAAGGGGGUUGCUCACAGCCUGUGGGCUUGCAUUUGUUCCUUUUCAGCAAUCACCAUCUGAAGGACCUAGCAUUUUGUGAGACUUUGCUGGAGCCAUUAUUAUUUGAGACCAUGCAAUAGGAAGGGGACAGAGCACACAAUUGUGCUGGUGGGGACCAGCAGCGAGACCACACAGAGAGCAGAAAAAGGAGGAAGGGAGCUCAAAACUCUCUGAUGGGGAUCUGCUCAUGGGUGGAACUGGCAGCGAGAGCAGAUCCUGCAUCAGUGUCAGCCAGCAGCUCUGGGAAUCUCCUUAAUGAGUUCGGAUGUACAGUGGAGUGCCACCUUCCACUCCUGGCUCUGCUGAGUGCCUGGUGAUGCUUCAAGCAUCCUCACUGCUCCUCACUUCCUUAAGUGGCAGUACAAGUGAUACCUGGUAUUUGGAAAGUAGUGCUUGAGGGGAUAAAGUGCGUUGAUAAACUCGUCGUGAUAUAGUUUCUAAUAACUUAUUGACUUUCCUUCACAGCAAUAGUGGGAUGCUUCCAGUGCAGGGCCUUAUUCUCAGUGGCAUCACUUGACAUAACUCCACUGAUUUCAUUAACUUAUACCCUGAUUUCCUUCCCCUCCCCCCCUCUUUUUUUUUUUUUUUUUUACUCAAAUCAAUCACCAUGAUAGACUAGGAAAAUUGGUUUUAUCAUUCUUAGACUCCAAAUUGAAUAGCUGCAGCAGCUGGAUUAGGCUAAUCCUCCUUUCUUGGACUUGCAUUGCUGAACAGAACCACCCCUUGCCCCCACCCCUUCCUGCAAAUUAGGGGAUUAAGCCAAGAGGUGCUUAAGCAUAGCACGGAUUGAUACACGUGGUUAUGCAAAUUGUAUCCUAGUGAGAUUCUUGAAAUGAACUUGAAUACUGGAAUGACAUCUUCAACACGGAGGAUACGAAAAUAGCAACAGAAUCUAAGGCUCAGCUUGAGCAAAAAAGGUGAACUUUGUGCGCCCAGCCACAUCAACCAAUAACAUCCCACAGCCUGUGCGCCCCAUUAGCAGGUGGGGAUAGAUUGCAAACACAAGGCAGCGUGUUGUGCAGUUCACACAGACGUUAAAUAAACGAUGCCAUCGACAUAGAUACAUGGCAGGUGGAACAAAAUGGCUGCACCAUCUACCACAGGCUACAGGGGAGACUCAGUGUGUGAUUAAAUAAUGAAUAAAAUAUCAUCGCAAACGAUAACGUUAUAUUGUAAAUAAUUCCAUUUGUUUACUCUCUCCUGGCAUUGAAGUUCAUCUCCCUUGGAGACUUCUUUGACUUUUGAUGCUGUUUUGCUUUGCAUAUGCUUGAAUUUAUAUUUUUUUUUUCUGCUUUCCACAGAACCUUCGUAAGGGUUCAGAAAAUGACAGAACCAAGUGAAUAAUUCACAGCAGAUAAUUCCUUGGCUGCAUUUUGCAUCUUUAUUUCUGCAAAACAUCCAUCCACAUUAUGUAUGUUUUGUACUAAUUUCUAGUUAAAUUAAAGCAUGACUUCCCCUCUAGCCACCAUCUUCCCAUUUUCAUGAGCAGGACAAUAAAGUCUCAUCUGGAAGUAGUUCACUGUUAAAAUUAGUGUACUUGUGACUGGAGAAAUAGACAUCAUUCCCUCUUCUUUCUUGGAUGGCUGUAGUGUUGCUGCUGGUAUAAAUACCUCCAAACAACAA
This is a long non-coding RNA of Tympanuchus pallidicinctus (lesser prairie-chicken), 4806 nucleotides long. RefSeq lists it as uncharacterized. The transcript has 4 exons. The record is from RefSeq and is a predicted model, not a curated record. NCBI's taxonomy places the organism in Eukaryota, Metazoa, Chordata, Aves, Galliformes, Phasianidae.